GAUGAACGCUGGCGGCGUGCUUAACACAUGCAAGUCGAACGGAAAGGCUCCUGCUUGCAGGGGUACUCGAGUGGCGAACGGGUGAGUAACACGUGGGUGAUCUGCCCUGCACUUCGGGAUAAGCCUGGGAAACUGGGUCUAAUACCGGAUAGGACGAUGGUUUGGAUGCCAUUGUGGAAAGUUUUUCGGUGUGGGAUGAGCUCGCGGCCUAUCAGCUUGUUGGUGGGGUAAUGGCCUACCAAGGCGUCGACGGGUAGCCGGCCUGAGAGGGUGUACGGCCAUAUUGGGACCGAGUUUCGGCUCAGACUCCCAGGGGCAGCAGCAGUGGGGAAUAAUGCACAAUGGGCGGAACGCUGCUGCAGCGUAGCCGCGUGGGAGAUAACGGCAUUCUGGUUGUAAGCUUCUUUUGCUAGGGACGAAGCGCAAGUGACGGUACCUGGAGAAGAAGCACCGGCUAAAUACGUG
Molecule: ribosomal RNA, 465 nt
Filed under: uncultured bacterium
Lineage: Bacteria
Description: partial 16S ribosomal RNA
Rfam family: Bacterial small subunit ribosomal RNA
Source: RNAcentral